This 2938-nucleotide ribosomal RNA is filed under the name Yersinia canariae. RNAcentral describes it as "23S ribosomal RNA". It matches the Rfam family "Bacterial large subunit ribosomal RNA". Lineage: Bacteria; Pseudomonadati; Pseudomonadota; Gammaproteobacteria; Enterobacterales; Yersiniaceae. The record is from RNAcentral.
GGGUUGUGAGGUUAAGCGACUAAGCGUACACGGUGGAUGCCUAGGCAGUCAGAGGCGAUGAAGGGCGUGCUAAUCUGCGAAAAGCGUCGGUAAGGUGAUAUGAACCGUUACAACCGACGAUACCCGAAUGGGGAAACCCAGUGCAAUUCGUUGCACUAUUGCAUGGUGAAUACAUAGCCAUGCAAGGCGAACCGGGGGAACUGAAACAUCUAAGUACCCCGAGGAAAAGAAAUCAACCGAGAUUCCCCCAGUAGCGGCGAGCGAACGGGGAGGAGCCCAGAGUCUGAAUCAGUUUGUGUGUUAGUGGAAGCGUCUGGAAAGUCGCAGGGUACAGGGUGAUACUCCCGUACACAAAAACACACUUGCUGUGAACUCGAUGAGUAGGGCGGGACACGUGACAUCCUGUCUGAAUAUGGGGGGGACCAUCCUCCAAGGCUAAAUACUCCUGACUGACCGAUAGUGAACCAGUACCGUGAGGGAAAGGCGAAAAGAACCCCGGCGAGGGGAGUGAAAUAGAACCUGAAACCGUGUACGUACAAGCAGUGGGAGCACCUUCGUGGUGUGACUGCGUACCUUUUGUAUAAUGGGUCAGCGACUUAUAUUUUGUAGCAAGGUUAACCGAAUAGGGGAGCCGUAGGGAAACCGAGUCUUAACUGGGCGUCUAGUUGCAAGGUAUAGACCCGAAACCCGGUGAUCUAGCCAUGGGCAGGUUGAAGGUUGGGUAACACUAACUGGAGGACCGAACCGACUAAUGUUGAAAAAUUAGCGGAUGACUUGUGGCUGGGGGUGAAAGGCCAAUCAAACCGGGAGAUAGCUGGUUCUCCCCGAAAGCUAUUUAGGUAGCGCCUCGUGAACUCAUCUUCGGGGGUAGAGCACUGUUUCGGCUAGGGGGUCAUCCCGACUUACCAAACCGAUGCAAACUCCGAAUACCGAAGAAUGUUAUCACGGGAGACACACGGCGGGUGCUAACGUCCGUCGUGAAGAGGGAAACAACCCAGACCGCCAGCUAAGGUCCCAAAGUCAUGGUUAAGUGGGAAACGAUGUGGGAAGGCAUAGACAGCCAGGAUGUUGGCUUAGAAGCAGCCAUCAUUUAAAGAAAGCGUAAUAGCUCACUGGUCGAGUCGGCCUGCGCGGAAGAUGUAACGGGGCUAAACCAUGCACCGAAGCUGCGGCAGCGACACUUAGGUGUUGUUGGGUAGGGGAGCGUUCUGUAAGCCGUUGAAGGUGACCUGUGAGGGUUGCUGGAGGUAUCAGAAGUGCGAAUGCUGACAUAAGUAACGAUAAUGCGGGUGAAAAGCCCGCACGCCGGAAGACCAAGGGUUCCUGUCCAACGUUAAUCGGGGCAGGGUGAGUCGACCCCUAAGGCGAGGCUGAAAAGCGUAGUCGAUGGGAAACAGGUUAAUAUUCCUGUACUUGGUGUUACUGCGAAGGGGGGACGGAGAAGGCUAGGCUAGCCGGGCGACGGUUGUCCCGGUUUAAGCAUGUAGGCGGAGCGACUUGGUAAAUCCGGUUGCUUAUCAACGCUGAGGUGUGAUGACGAGUCACUACGGUGAUGAAGUAGUUGAUGCCAAGCUUCCAGGAAAAGCCUCUAAGCAUCAGGUAACAUUAAAUCGUACCCCAAACCGACACAGGUGGUCAGGUAGAGAAUACUCAGGCGCUUGAGAGAACUCGGGUGAAGGAACUAGGCAAAAUGGUGCCGUAACUUCGGGAGAAGGCACGCUGGCAUUAGGUAAAGAGACUUGCUCUCGGCGCCGAAGCCAGUCGCAGAUACCAGCUGGCUGCAACUGUUUAAUAAAAACACAGCACUGUGCAAACACGAAAGUGGACGUAUACGGUGUGACGCCUGCCCGGUGCUGGAAGGUUAAUUGAUGGGGUCAGCCGCAAGGCGAAGCUCUUGAUCGAAGCCCCAGUAAACGGCGGCCGUAACUAUAACGGUCCUAAGGUAGCGAAAUUCCUUGUCGGGUAAGUUCCGACCUGCACGAAUGGCGUAAUGAUGGCCAGGCUGUCUCCACCCGAGACUCAGUGAAAUUGAACUCGCUGUGAAGAUGCAGUGUACCCGCGGCAAGACGGAAAGACCCCGUGAACCUUUACUAUAGCUUGACACUGAACAUUGAGCCUUGAUGUGUAGGAUAGGUGGGAGGCAUCGAAGCGUGGACGCCAGUCUGCGUGGAGCCAACCUUGAAAUACCACCCUUUAAUGUUUGAUGUUCUAACUCGGCCCCGUGAUCCGGGGUGAGGACAGUGUCUGGUGGGUAGUUUGACUGGGGCGGUCUCCUCCCAAAGAGUAACGGAGGAGCACGAAGGUUAGCUAAUCACGGUCGGACAUCGUGAGGUUAGUGCAAAGGCAUAAGCUAGCUUGACUGCGAGAGUGACGGCUCGAGCAGGUACGAAAGUAGGUCUUAGUGAUCCGGUGGUUCUGAAUGGAAGGGCCAUCGCUCAACGGAUAAAAGGUACUCCGGGGAUAACAGGCUGAUACCGCCCAAGAGUUCAUAUCGACGGCGGUGUUUGGCACCUCGAUGUCGGCUCAUCACAUCCUGGGGCUGAAGUAGGUCCCAAGGGUAUGGCUGUUCGCCAUUUAAAGUGGUACGCGAGCUGGGUUUAGAACGUCGUGAGACAGUUCGGUCCCUAUCUGCCGUGGGCGUUGGAAGAUUGAGAGGGGCUGCUCCUAGUACGAGAGGACCGGAGUGGACGAAUCACUGGUGUUCGGGUUGUCAUGCCAAUGGCAUUGCCCGGUAGCUAAAUUCGGAAGAGAUAACCGCUGAAAGCAUCUAAGCGGGAAACUUGCCUCGAGAUGAGUCUUCCCUGGGGCUUUAAGCCCCCUGAAGGAACGUUAAAGACUAUGACGUUGAUAGGCUGGGUGUGUAAGUGCAGCGAUGCAUUGAGCUAACCAGUACUAAUGAUCCGUGAGGCUUAACCUUACAACACCGAAGGUGUUUUAG